GUGUUUCUGCAAGCACAUAUAUUAAAAUUGGAACAAUACAGAGACGAUUAGAGUGGCCCCUGCAUGAGGAUGACAUGCAAAUUCAUGAAAUGUUCCAUAUUUUU
Molecule: small nuclear RNA, 104 nt
Organism: Zalophus californianus (California sea lion)
Lineage: Eukaryota; Metazoa; Chordata; Mammalia; Carnivora; Otariidae
Source: Ensembl